RNAcentral lists this ribosomal RNA (695 nucleotides) under uncultured bacterium. RNAcentral describes it as "bacterial SSU rRNA". It matches the Rfam family "Bacterial small subunit ribosomal RNA", at positions 140 to 851 of the family's 1533-position model. The record is from RNAcentral.
GGGACAACAGUUCGAAACGACUGCUAAUACCGCAUAAGCCCACGACCCGGCAUCGGGUUGAGGGAAAAGGAGCAAUCCGCUUUGAGAUGGCCUCGCGUCCGAUUAGCUAGUUGGUGAGGUAACGGCCCACCAAGGCGACGAUCGGUAGCCGGACUGAGAGGUUGAACGGCCACAUUGGGACUGAGACACGGCCCAGACUCCUACGGGAGGCAGCAGUGGGGAAUAUUGCACAAUGGGGGAAACCCUGAUGCAGCGACGCCGCGUGGAGGAAGAAGGUCUUCGGAUUGUAAACUCCUGUUGUUGAGGAAGAUAAUGACGGUACUCAACAAGGAAGUGACGGCUAACUACGUGCCAGCAGCCGCGGUAAAACGUAGGUCACAAGCGUUGUCCGGAAUUACUGGGUGUAAAGGGAGCGCAGGCGGGAAGACAAGUUGGAAGUGAAAUCCAUGGGCUCAACCCAUGAACUGCUUUCAAAACUGUUUUUCUUGAGUAGUGCAGAGGUAGGCGGAAUUCCCGGUGUAGCGGUGGAAUGCGUAGAUAUCGGGAGGAACACCAGUGGCGAAGGCGGCCUACUGGGCACCAACUGACGCUGAGGCUCGAAAGUGUGGGUAGCAAACAGGAUUAGAUACCCUGGUAGUCCACACCGUAAACGAUGUAUACUAGGUGUUGGAGGAUUGACCCCUUCAGUGCCGCAG